GAAAAUCUUUCACGAAGUCCAAAGGCUCUGGUUUUUUUUCACCCAUCUUUGCUUUUUUAACAUUUACAGUUUGUUAGACCUAGAAAACAAAACUGAAACAAUUUUACACUAUUUAGGGAGAUCUAGUACAUAGCAAACAAAUGACAAAAGCUAUUUUGUGCAAGACACUAUAUAAAGCAAGAGAAAACACAGUGCCUGCCUUUCAGCAUCUUAUAAUCUUACUGGUGAACUAAAGACAUACACAAAAUGGUAAAAAAUCAAUAUAUUUAAUAAUUAAAUAUAAAUACGGAUUCAAACUUAGUCACAGAGGAUGGGAAGAAAUUUCAAAGGCAGAAAAAAAGAGAAAACAAGUUCAGAUUAAAUAAAUAAGAACACAAGCAGAGAUUAUUGAUGAAGAAGACAAGAAACCAAGGAGACCGGAGACCAACAUAGGGAGAACUUGUCCCUACAAAAAAAAGUGUUUUUAAUUAGCUGAGUGGUGGCACAUGCUGAUGGUCCCAGCUACUCAGGAGGCUGAGGCAGGAGAAUUGCUUGGGUCUGAGUGGUCAAGGCUGCAGUGAGCCGUGAUUGCACCACUGGACUCCAACCUGGUUGACAAAAGGAGACUAUUUUCUGGAUGAUGGACAUGUUUCUUAUCUGUGCUAUUCCUACGCAGUUGCUACUAGCCACAUAUAGCUACUGAGGCACUUGAAAUUUGGCUAAUACAUAUGACCUGAGUUUUUAAUGUUAUUAAUUUAAAUAGAAAUAGCUGCAUGCAGCUAGUAACUACCAGCAAAGGCUCUUAAGACAUAGUGUUCACAUGAAUGAGUAGUCUGCAAAUAAGUGGUCUAGAACUAGGGGUUGCAAAGUUUUUAUGAAGGGCCAGUUAGUAAAUAUUUUAGGCUUUGCAAGCCAUGCUCAUCUUUGCUGCAAUUACUCAACUGUGUCACGGUAAGAAGCCACAGACAAUAGGCAGCCACAGACAGUAUGUAAACAAAUGGGUGGGGCUAUGUUCCAAUUAGACUUUAUAACAACAGGCGUUGAGCCAGAUUUGGCCUACAGGCCUUAGCUUCCCAACCCCUGCUCUAGAAAUAUCCAAAUCACCACCUCUACUACCUAUCAUCCUAUCCACUCCAAGACUAGGGAAAAAUAAAAAAGUAAAAGAAAAUCCCUGACCGUAGUGUAGAAAGGGAAAGUCUCUUGUGUGUUCUGCAAUCACAAGCUGGUCUUCACAUAGGUUUAUGGCCCAAAUUCACAAAUAAAAUAGCCAAAAAAGUUUUCUAGUAAGAAUAAGAUGAAGUCUAGCACCUGGGAUAAAAAAGGUCUUUUCUUCCAGGAAAAACAAUUUUUAUGCAAAUAAGUACAAUUCUCUGGUAAAUAUACCUUAUAAAAUCUUCUUUUUCUAAACUCAAACUAUUUAAUGAAUAAUUUUCCAUCUAAACAAGCUUCCAUCUUUAGUAGCCAGUGGUAGACAAAAAAUUACUCACUUUCAGCAUAUAUGCUUAACUUUUUGUUGAAGUCUUGUACAUAUAUAGAAAAGCACAUAAAUCAUAAGAGCAGAGCUCAAUGAAUUGUCACAAAAUGAACACAUUCAUAAAAUCAGCACCACAAUCAAGAAACAGAAGGAUGCCGGCAUCCCAGAAACCCCCCUCGUGUACCCUUCCAAUGCUAGGACCCUCUGCCCUGACAAGGGUUACAGCCAUCCUGACUUCUGACUCUGUAGAUUAGUUUUGUCUGUUCUUCAGCUUUAUGUAAAUGGAAUCACACACUAUGAACCUUUGUCUGGCUUCUGUCACUCAACAUUGUAAUUGUAAGAUUCAUCCAUAUUGUUGCAUGCAACUGAAGUUUGCUCAAAUUUACUGCUGGAGUCUGUUGUAUGACCAUGCCACAACUCAUUUAUCUCUUAUACUGUUUUUAGAUCAUUUGGGUAAUUUCCAGUAAUUGGCUGCUGUGAAUAAAGUUUCUAUGAACAUAUUACUACACGUUUUUUGAUUACGUACAUAUUUCUGUUGGUUGUAUAGAAGUGAAACUGCUGGAUCAAAGGCAUGCAUAUAUUCAGUUUUAGAUAAUGUCAAAUAGGUUUUCAAAGUGAUUAUAGCAAUUUACACUCCCACUAGCAGUAAACAAAACUGCUGCUGCUCCACAUCCUUGACAAUACUUGGGCAUGUUUUGCCUUUUUCGUUUUAGCCGUUCUGGUGGGUGUCUAGUGGUAUCACAUUACUUUUAAUUUACAUUCCUUGGUGACUAAUGAAGAUGUAAACUUUUUAAUAUAUACUAAUUAACCACUUAGAUACCCUCUGUUGUAUAAUGUCUGCUCAUACCUUUUGCUUAUUUUUCUAUUGUGUUGUCUUUUUCUAAUAUGGAAGAAUGCUUUAUAAUGAGUCCUUUAUUAGGAUAUGUGCAUCUUAAGUAUCUCCCACUGUGGUUGCCUUUUCGUUUUCUCUUCUUUUCUUUUCUUUUUUUUUUUUUGAAACAGAAUCUCACUCUGUCGCCCAGGCUGGGGUGCAGUGCCGUGAUCUCGGCUCACUGCAAGCUCCACCUCCCAGGUUCACGCCACCUGCCUCAGCCUCCCGAGUAGCUGGGACUACAGGUGUCCGCCACCACGCCCAGUUAAUUUUUUUGUAUUUUUAGUAGAGAUGUGGUUUCACCGUGUUAGCCAGGAUGGUCUCGAUCUCCCGACCUUGUGAUCUGCCCACCUCGGCCUCCCAAAGGGCUGGGAUUACAGACGUGAGCCACUGCGCCCGGCCUUCACUUUCUUAAUGGUAAUUUUUGAUGAACAGAAGUUCUUAAUAUAGUACAAUUUACCCAUUUUUAUCCUUUACAUUUAGAGUUGUUUGUGUCCUAGUUAAGAAAUCCUUGCCUACAUCUUACUUGAAGAUGUUCUCCUAUACUUUCUUCUAAAUGCUUUUUAUUUUACCUUUCAUAUUUUUAUCUGGACUUGAGUUUUGUGUAUGGUGUGAGAUAAGAGUCAAAGCCAACUUUUUAAGAAUCAAAACUUCUUCUUUGACUUAACUCGAAAUCUACUGGAAAUAGACCAACAUUUGACAUACCAUUAAUAUGAAUUAUUGUACUUUACAACCACUCAGUAACAGGGCUGUUUUUGUUUUCCCUGUUUCCUGGCUUCAGACUGAUCUAUCUUAUUUUCGUACUUCUUGUCUUCUCUCUUCACAUCUAGUCUCUUCUUUGUUCCAAACAUAUUUAGCCAAAUAAGGACUUACAGGUAACUGAAUUCUCUUUUCUUAAUUCAAUACUUGUGAAUCGUUCCUUUCCUCCCUUUUUAGAAGCUACGGUAGUUCUAGGGGCUUUUAAAAAUUAUUAGUGGCCGGGCGCAGUGGCUC
RNAcentral lists this long non-coding RNA (3317 nucleotides) under Homo sapiens (human). RNAcentral describes it as "HSALNT0169339". The record is from RNAcentral. Lineage: Eukaryota; Metazoa; Chordata; Mammalia; Primates; Hominidae.